Molecule: long non-coding RNA, 911 nt
Organism: Heterocephalus glaber (naked mole-rat)
Lineage: Eukaryota; Metazoa; Chordata; Mammalia; Rodentia; Bathyergidae
Source: Ensembl
CUCCUUCACCUUCUCCAGCAGCAGCCACUCCCCUCCUGCUCCUGCUCACCUGGGUUCCAGUUCCCACCUUGUCACAGGUGUGUGUGCCCCCGAGCCUUCGGCUUGCUCCUGGCACUAAUUUCUGAGUUGUCCCCCUUUUCUCUGGUUUGCUUGCUCUGGAUCUCUGAUCAACCGUCUCCCACUUUGUGGAAUUCCCUGAGUCACAGUUCUCCCCUUCAAAUACUCCAAUCUUAUUUUCCUAGCUGCAUCCUGAUUGGUGCCAGUCCGGCACAGCAUCCUGCUCACACUGAAGUCUUGGGUAGCACAGCCCGGAGGCGAUGCCCAGUGCUCCUGCUGACCCGAGGACCUCUGGGGCCAGACCCCAAGGCUUCGACCCCCUUCCCAGCUCUCCUUCUCCGGUUCAGAUUCUACUUGAGCCCACUCUGCCCAGGAGAGACCAAGUAGUUUUCUCUGCCUGCUGACACUGACACCAGAAGACAUUCAAACAGCUCACUGGAUUGCUAGCCCAGCCCAUUGGUGGCAAACCUAUGGGACAUGUGCCCAGCCUCUGCCAUCAAUUAAGUAGAUGCCAUAGCUCUGACUUGUUUCCUGUAAAGGGGUGCCGGCUUUGUUUACUUCAUUUAGCAGGCUCUCUCUGCGCACUCGGUCCACUGCCUCCCACAUCGCAGGUUCACAGUACAGGCUUGUGAGCUAAAUACAGUCUACAUUUCACCAGCAUCUGUGCUGAUUUCCGGUUCCUUGUCAGAGGGACAUGCUGUGUGCCCUCCUGCAGCUGCAUGGUGUGCACUGGAUCAUCCACUCAGGAUGUGCUCUGAGCAGGUCCUGUAUUCUAGACCGGAGAUACUGGGGGCCACUAGGGGCAGCACAAAGACUCCAAGGCCCAUUGCCACUUACUUUAAAAGCAAGGGUUC